UACGGAGGGGGCGAGCGUUAAUCGGAAUUACUGGGCGUAAAGCGCACGUAGGCGGUUGGGUAAGUCGGAUGUGAAAGGCCAGGGCUUAACCUGGGAAGUGCACCCGAUACUGCCGAGCUGGAGUAUGGAAGAGGGUAGCGGAAUUUCCGGUGUAGCGGUGAAAUGCGUAGAUAUCGGGAGGAACACCAAUGGCGAAGGCAGCGACCUGGGCCAAUAAUGACGCUGAGGUGCGAAAGCGUGGGGAGCAAACAGG
Molecule: ribosomal RNA, 253 nt
Filed under: uncultured bacterium
Lineage: Bacteria
Description: partial 16S ribosomal RNA
Rfam family: Bacterial small subunit ribosomal RNA
Source: RNAcentral